Molecule: long non-coding RNA, 804 nt
Filed under: Felis catus (domestic cat)
Lineage: Eukaryota; Metazoa; Chordata; Mammalia; Carnivora; Felidae
Description: lncRNA (ENSFCAG00000046097.2)
Source: RNAcentral
GGGUGGAGUUUUGUAGCACUGAUGCUGCCCUGUUGAAACCAGGUGGAAGGGAAGGAGACAGGCGCUGUUCCUGCUUCAUCGUGGUUCAGCUAUGUUAGCGUUGGUGUUGGUGUUGGAUUUCUCACCUUUUACCCUAACAUAUCUCAAAAGUUUAAUAUCUGUCCUGCAGGUCAACAUGGCUGCCAGAGCAUUUUCUUCUUUCCCAGAAGUGCCCUCCAUGAGGUACCCAUGGGCUGCCCUUUAUGACCAUUCAUGAGCUCUGGGCCACCCCCAUAUUCUCCAUCCUGGUGGCCUUUGGGACCUCACCCUCCAUCUCCAUCUCCACCUCCACCAUUUGAGACUUUAGCCGAUCCAGAAGCUGGUGUCACUCCCAUGAGUCACAACAACAAGCACUCUACCAAAAAUGCCAAGAAGGACCAGGAAAAUGCUGGGGCCAUUUUCAGUUGGCAGUGUGAAUCCAUGGGGACCUCCUCUGUUAACUGGAAGAUUCUGCACACCCUGCCUACCCUAGAGGCCACCCUACGGGCUCCUGGGCACAUCCACCUCCUGAACCUUGGUGGCCCUGGGGACUACCCUAAACCCCUCCACCUACACCACUUGGCUCUUUUGCAGAUCCAGAUUUUGCUCCGGUGAUUGACAACAAAACUGACUCUACCACAAGGACCAAGAAGGACAAGGCCAUUAUGUAUGCAAGAGGGCCUGGUCCUUUCCUAGGUUUGCCUUGCAAGCUGUACCCCAUGGAUCACCCUUCAUCACCAGUCAUGGGCUAUGGGCUACCUCCAGCUCCUCCAAGUACUCAAUUUG